Molecule: long non-coding RNA, 625 nt
Filed under: Olea europaea (common olive)
Lineage: Eukaryota; Viridiplantae; Streptophyta; Magnoliopsida; Lamiales; Oleaceae
Description: long non-coding RNA (OEUR_LNC006728)
Source: RNAcentral
ACUAAUAUCUCCCUUCAAACCCCCCAAUUUCUCUCGGCCCUUUUUCCUCGUUGCCUUCUAAUCAGAGUUAAACUUCAUUUUUCGAACAAAGAAUUUCCAACAAAGAUUAAAACCCUGUAAUGUACCCCGCAUUUUUUAGUGCAGGCCAUUUUGUUUUGCAUGUUCAGAUCCUGCAAUUAAUACCCUUAUUUCACCUAUUGCUACGAAAGGAUGGUUUGAAUGGUUUAUUGUGUUGAUAAUAUUAGCAGCAAUUGCAUUAACCAUAAAGCAGAAAAUGCACAACAAAGAAUCAGAUUUUGAAGCUUGCUUGUGUUCCGGGGCCUCCCAGUGCGGUUACGCAGAAAUAUGCCGACACUCUCAAAACUGCUAUGUAGUUCUGGGAGCAAAAGACAUGGGAUAAGUAAGUUGAUUUGUUUCAGUUCUUCUUAAGUUGGGCUAUUCUUGGUGUCAGUACAAAUUGACGUCUUUGCAGAAGGGUUUGUGGUUGAAAGAGAGGAGUAGAUUUGUAAUUGGUCUAGCUCUAUUUUUCCGAGAAGACUUGAACGCCAUUAUCGAUUUCUUGCAGCAAAGUCAAAAGCUUAAAAUUACUGUGGUAGAUAGAGUUUUAAAGGCAGUGUUUGAGCNN